Molecule: ribosomal RNA, 500 nt
Filed under: uncultured bacterium
Lineage: Bacteria
Description: partial 16S ribosomal RNA
Rfam family: Bacterial small subunit ribosomal RNA
Source: RNAcentral
AUUGAACGCUGGCGGCAUGCCUUACACAUGCAAGUCGAACGGCAGCACGGGAGCAAUCCUGGUGGCGAGUGGCGAACGGGUGAGUGAAGUAUCGGAACGUGCCCAGUCGUGGGGGAUAACGUAGCGAAAGUUACGCUAAUACCGCAUACGAUCUAUGGAUGAAAGCGGGGGAUCGCAAGACCUCGCGCGAUUGGAGCGGCCGAUAUCAGAGUAGGUAGUUGGUGGGGUAAAGGCUCACCAAGCCGACGAUCUGUAGCUGGUCUGAGAGGACGACCAGCCACACUGGGACUGAGACACGGCCCAGACUCCUACGGGAGGCAGCAGUGGGGAAUCUUGGACAAUGGGCGAAAGCCUGAUCCAGCCAUGCCGCGUGCAGGAUGAAGGCCUUCGGGUUGUAGACUGCUUUUGUACGGAACGAAAAGGUUUGGCCUAAUAAGCUGAGCUCAUGACGGUACCGUAAGAAUAAGCACCGGCUAACUACGUGCCAGCCGCCGCCGUAA